Molecule: small nuclear RNA, 141 nt
Filed under: Echinops telfairi (small Madagascar hedgehog)
Lineage: Eukaryota; Metazoa; Chordata; Mammalia; Afrosoricida; Tenrecidae
Description: U4 spliceosomal RNA (ENSETEG00000021785.1)
Rfam family: U4 spliceosomal RNA
About the family: U4 small nuclear RNA (U4 snRNA) is a component of the major U2-dependent spliceosome. The structure of U4 snRNA from yeast and human has been reported.
Source: RNAcentral
AGCUUUGCACAGUGGCAAUAUCAUAGCCAGUGAGGUUUAUCCGAGGCGUGAUUAUUGCUAAUUGAAAACUUUUCCCAAUACCCCGCCGUGAAGACUUGAAAUAUAGUCGGCAUUGGCAAUUUUUGACAGUCUCUACGGAGA